This 1059-nucleotide ribosomal RNA is filed under the name uncultured Actinomycetes bacterium. RNAcentral's name for it is "bacterial SSU rRNA". It matches the Rfam family "Bacterial small subunit ribosomal RNA", at positions 55 to 1127 of the family's 1533-position model. Lineage: Bacteria; Bacillati; Actinomycetota; Actinomycetes. The record is from RNAcentral.
AUGCAAGUCGAAGCGAAGCUUUUCAGUAGUUUACUACAGAAAAUGACUGAGCGGCGAACGGGUGAGUAACGCGUGAGCAAUCUACCUUAGUUACUGGGAUAGCCCGAGGAAACUCGGAUUAAUACCGGAUAAUCUUAUUACAUCACAUGAUAUUUUAAGUAAAGGUCAGCCGAACUAAGAUGAGCUCGCGUUCUAUCAGCUUGUUGGUGGGGUAAAAGCCUACCAAGGCUACGACGGAUAGCUGGUCUGAGAGGACGAUCAGCCACACUGGGACUGAGACACGGCCCAGACUCCUACGGGAGGCUGCAGCAGGGAAUAUUGCGCAAUGAGCGAAAGCUUGACGCAGCGACACCGCGUGUGGGAUGACGGUUCUAGGAUUGUAAACCACUUUCAGGAGGGAAGAAAAUGACGGUACCUCCACAAGAAGCCCCGGCCAACUACGUGCCAGCAGCCGCGGUAAUACGUAGGGGGCGAGCGUUGUCCGGAUUUAUUGGGCGUAAAGAGCUCGUAGGCGGUUCAACAAGUCGGUCGUGAAAGUUCAGGGCUUAACCCUGAAAUGUCGAUCGAUACUGUUGUGACUAGGAUAUGGUAGAGGUGAGUGGAAUUCCGAGUGUAGCGGUGAAAUGCGUAGAUAUUCGGAGGAACACCUAUAGCGAAGGCAGCUCACUGGGCCACUAUCGACGCUGAGGAGCGAAAGCUAGGGGAGCAAACAGGAUUAGAUACCCUGGUAGUCCUAGCUGUAAACGAUGGAUACUAGAUGUAGGAAUUGGAUUGACGAUUUCUGUAUCGUAGCUAACGCGUUAAGUAUCCCGCCUGGGGAGUACGGUCGCAAGACUAAAACUCAAAGGAAUUGACGGGACCCCGCACAAGCGGCGGAGCAUGCGGCUUAAUUCGAUGAUACCCGUAGACCUUACCUGGACUAGACAUAUAGGGAAAAGCUAUAGAAAUAUAGUGUGCGUAGCGCCCUGUACAGGUGGUGCAUGCUGUCGUCAGCUCGUGUCGUGAGAUGUGGGUUAGUCCCGCAACGAGCGCAACCCCUGUCCUAUGUGCCAGCAAGUA